This 463-nucleotide ribosomal RNA is filed under the name uncultured bacterium. Its description in RNAcentral is "partial 16S ribosomal RNA". It matches the Rfam family "Bacterial small subunit ribosomal RNA", at positions 28 to 507 of the family's 1533-position model. The record is from RNAcentral.
GAUGAACGCUGACAGAAUGCUUAACACAUGCAAGUCGAUGGGGAAGUGGUGCUUGCACCAUGGCAACCCUGGCGGACGGGUGAGUAACGCGUAAGGGACUUACCUGCAGGACUGGGAUAACAGGGGGAAACUCCUGGCAAGACCGGAUAAUGUCAUGGAGCUGCAUGGCUUUAUGAUGAAAGGAGACGCCUGCGGAGAGCCUUGCGUCCUAUUAGCUAGUUGGUGAGGUAAUGGCUCACCAAGGCGAAGAUAGGUAGCCGGCCUGAGAGGGUGGACGGCCACAAGGGGACUGAGAUACGGCCCUUACUCCUACGGGAGGCAGCAGUGGGGAAUAUUGGACAAUGGGGGCAACCCUGAUCCAGCAAUUCUGUGUGCACGAAGAAGGUUUUCGGAUUGUAAAGUGCUUUCAGCAGGGAAGAAGUAAGUGACGGUACCUGCAGAAGAAGCGACGGCUAAAUACGUG